CCUACGGGAGGCAGCAGUGAGGAAUAUUGGUCAAUGGACGAGAGUCUGAACCAGCCAAGUAGCGUGAAGGAUGACUGCCCUAUGGGUUGUAAACUUCUUUUAUAAAGGAAUAAAACGAGGCACGUGUGCCUUGUUGCAUGUACUCUAUGAAUAAGGAUCGGCCAACUCCGUGCCAGCAGCCGCGGUAAUACGGAGGAUCCAGGCGUUAGCCGGUUUUAUUGGGUUUAAAGGGAGCGUAGAUGGGUUGUUAAGUCAGUUGUGAAAGUUCGGGGCUCAACCGUAAAAUUGCAAUUGAUACUGGGAGUCUUGAGUACAGUAGAGGUAGGCGGAAUUCGUGGUGUAGCGGUGAAAUGCUUAGAUAUCACGAAGAACCCCGAUUGCGAAGGCAGCUUACUAGACUGUGACUGACAUUGAUGCUCGAAAGUGUGGGUAUCAAACAGGAUUAGAUACCCGUGUAGUC
Molecule: ribosomal RNA, 460 nt
Filed under: uncultured bacterium
Lineage: Bacteria
Description: partial 16S ribosomal RNA
Rfam family: Bacterial small subunit ribosomal RNA
Source: RNAcentral